This 115-nucleotide small nuclear RNA is filed under the name Sinocyclocheilus anshuiensis. RNAcentral describes it as "U5 spliceosomal RNA (ENSSANG00000032772.1)". It matches the Rfam family "U5 spliceosomal RNA". Rfam says of the family: U5 RNA is a component of both types of known spliceosome. The precise function of this molecule is unknown, though it is known that the 5' loop is required for splice site selection and p220 binding, and that both the 3' stem-loop and the Sm site are important for Sm protein binding and cap methylation. The record is from Rfam by way of RNAcentral. Lineage: Eukaryota; Metazoa; Chordata; Actinopteri; Cypriniformes; Cyprinidae.
CGCUCAUGUUUCUCUUCAUAUCGUAUAAAUCUUUCGCCUUUUACUAAAGAUUUCCGUGGAGAGGAGCACGAUGAGUAUAAACUAAUUUUUUAAUGCUCUGCAUAAAUGUGGGGCU